AUUGAACGCUGGCGGCAUGCUUUACACAUGCAAGUCGAACGGUAACAGGCCGCAAGGUGCUGACGGGUGGCGAACGGGUGAGUAAUGCAUCGGAACGUGCCCAGUCGUGGGGGAUAACUACUCGAAAGAGUAGCUAAUACCGCAUACGAUCUAUGGUUGAAAGCGGGGGGCCGUAAGACCGAGCGCGAUUGGAGCUGCCGAUGUCAGAUUAGUUAGUUGGUCGGGUAAUGGCUCACCAAGUCAACGAUCUGUAGCUGGUCUGAGAGUACGAGCCGCCACACUGGGACUGAGACACGGCCCAGACUCCUACGGGAGGCAGCAGUGGGGAAUUUUGGACAAUGGGCGCAAGCCUGAUCCAGCAAUGCCGCGUGCAGGAAGAAGGCCUUCGGGUUGUAAACUGCUUUUGUACGGGACGAAACGGCUCUGGUUAAUACCCGGGGGUAAUGACGGUACCGUAAGAAUAAGCACCGGCUAACUACGUG
This 482-nucleotide ribosomal RNA is filed under the name uncultured bacterium. RNAcentral's name for it is "partial 16S ribosomal RNA". It matches the Rfam family "Bacterial small subunit ribosomal RNA", at positions 30 to 507 of the family's 1533-position model. The record is from RNAcentral.